RNAcentral lists this long non-coding RNA (769 nucleotides) under Homo sapiens (human). RNAcentral describes it as "HSALNT0199659". The record is from RNAcentral. Lineage: Eukaryota; Metazoa; Chordata; Mammalia; Primates; Hominidae.
GCCUUGGGGAGAUUUCCUGGCUCCUCUAAAAGCUGGAGCUGCCUUUCUCACCCCAGAAAUCUGUCUCUUUACAUAUGUAGGCAGAAGAGUGUCCCCAGGAAGAACCUGGACACUUCCCACAUGGCACACUAGGCUGACUUCCCACAUGUGGGAACUUAGGGCCACGGCCAAGGUAAGAAGCCAGUGCUGCUACCAGCCGCCAGCCACAGCUCCUGAGCCCUCGGCCAUGGGACAUCUGACCUGCCCUGUGGCAGACGACUCCAGGUACAGGGUCCCAGGACAACAGAGCCUGCUCCACACACUGGAACCAGAGGUGGAUGAGGACUGAAGGAGGAAGAGGAGAAGGCAGAGGGCCUGGCCCAGCCUCUUCACUCCGCCGACCCUUGCAGGUGUCAGUUCAAAGUCCUGAGUGGAGCUCCCGGAUGACUGCACAACCAGGGGCCAAGCAGAUUAGCCGACUCCAGUGGAGCAGGCUAGAGACCUAUAACUGGGAGUGGGGGAAUCCCUUGAAUUAUAAAAUCAAAAAAUAUAAAAUUCCAGGCCAGGCAUGGUGCCUCAUGCCUGUAAUCCCAACACUUUAGGAGGCCAAAGUAGGAGAACUGCUUGAGCUCAGGAAUUUGAGACCAGCCUGGGCAACCCCAUCUCUACCAAAUAGAUAAUAUAUGUAAUAUAUGUAUAACUUAUACAUAUAAAUAUUAUAUAUAUGUUAUAACUGUACUCCUAGGAGUUAUAUAUAUUACAUAUAGUUUUAUAUAUAUAUAUUUCUAUA